Molecule: ribosomal RNA, 1346 nt
Filed under: uncultured bacterium
Lineage: Bacteria
Description: partial 16S ribosomal RNA
Rfam family: Bacterial small subunit ribosomal RNA
Source: RNAcentral
GACGAACGCUGGCGGCGUGCUUAACACAUGCAAGUCGAACGGAAAGGCCCUGCUUUUGUGGGGUGCUCGAGUGGCGAACGGGUGAGUAACACGUGAGUAACCUGCCCUUGACUUUGGGAUAACUUCAGGAAACUGGGGCUAAUACCGGAUAGGAGCUCCUGCUGCAUGGUGGGGGUUGGAAAGUUUCGGCGGUUGGGGAUGGACUCGCGGCUUAUCAGCUUGUUGGUGGGGUAGUGGCUUACCAAGGCUUUGACGGGUAGCCGGCCUGAGAGGGUGACCGGCCACAUUGGGACUGAGAUACGGCCCAGACUCCUACGGGAGGCAGCAGUGGGGAAUAUUGCACAAUGGGCGGAAGCCUGAUGCAGCAACGCCGCGUGCGGGAUGACGGCCUUCGGGUUGUAAACCGCUUUCGCCUGUGACGAAGCGUGAGUGACGGUAAUGGGUAAAGAAGCACCGGCUAACUACGUGCCAGCAGCCGCGGUGAUACGUAGGGUGCGAGCGUUGUCCGGAUUUAUUGGGCGUAAAGGGCUCGUAGGUGGUUGAUCGCGUCGGAAGUGUAAUCUUGGGGCUUAACCCUGAGCGUGCUUUCGAUACGGGUUGACUUGAGGAAGGUAGGGGAGCAUGGAAUUCCUGGUGGAGCGGUGGAAUGCGCAGAUAUCAGGAGGUACACCAGUGGCGAAGGCGGUUCUCUGGGCCUUUCCUGACGCUGAGGAGCGAAAGCGUGGGGAGCGAACAGGCUUAGAUACCCUGGUAGUCCACGCUGUAAACGGUGGGUACUAGGUGUGGGGUCCAUUCCACGGGUUCCGUGCCGUAGCUAACGCUUUAAGUACCCCGCCUGGGGAGUACGGCCGCAAGGCUAAAACUCAAAGGAAUUGACGGGGCCCCGCACAAGCGGCGGAGCAUGCGGAUUAAUUCGAUGCAACGCGUAGAACCUUACCUGGGUUUGACAUGGAUCGGGAGUGCUCAGAGAUGGGUGUGCCUCUUUUGGGGUCGGUUCACAGGUGGUGCAUGGCUGUCGUCAGCUCGUGUCGUGAGAUGUUGGGUUAAGUCCCGCAACGAGCGCAACCCUUGUUCACUGUUGCCAGCACGUUAUGGUGGGGACUCAGUGGAGACCGCCGGGGUCAACUCGGAGGAAGGUGGGGAUGACGUCAAGUCAUCAUGCCCCUUAUGUCCAGGGCUUCACGCAUGCUACAAUGGCUGGUACAGAGAGUGGCGAGCCUGUGAGGGUGAGCGAAUCUCGGAAAGCCGGUCUCAGUUCGGAUUGGGGUCUGCAACUCGACCUCAUGAAGUCGGAGUCGCUAGUAAUCGCAGAUCAGCAACGCUGCGGUGAAUACGUUCCCGGGGCU